This 254-nucleotide unclassified non-coding RNA is filed under the name uncultured Russula. RNAcentral describes it as "sequence contains ITS2". The record is from RNAcentral. Lineage: Eukaryota; Fungi; Basidiomycota; Agaricomycetes; Russulales; Russulaceae.
AAUUCUCAAAAUCCCUUUUCUUCUGGAAAAGGUUUUUUGGACUUGGAGGUUCAAUGCUCGCCUUCACCUUUGAAGGUGAGCUCCUCUCAAAUGAAUUAGUGGGGUCUGCUCUGCCGGUCCUUGACGUGAUAAAAUGUUUCUACGUUUUGGAUUUGGCACUGUCUCUUGGACCCCUGCUCCUAACCGUCUCAUGGACAAAUGAUGGUGCUUCUUCGGUCACCGCCGUUGGCGGGAGGCUGGGCCCACGGAAAAAC